AUCGGCGACGCGGUACACACUCCACGGAUAAAAGCGAUAAACAAAAAUUCGUAAUAUUGACAUAAAUACAUAAUAUUGUUCUUUUUCGUUCUCAAUUUCUUAUUAUAUAGUUCUGUUUAUUAUAAAAUCGUACUGUCGUUUAUAGUAACGAUUAACGAAAACAACCGCAAUAACAUUGUUCUGUUUUUGUUGGUGGCGUACCGCACAGCCAUGCCGAAAUACUAUUGUGAUUAUUGCGAUACGUACCUGACGCACGAUUCGCCAUCGGUGAGGAAGACUCACUGCCAGGGCCGCAAGCACAAGGAUAACGUCAAAUUUUACUAUCAGAAGUGGAUGGAGGAACAGGCACAGAACCUGAUUGACGCCACAACGGCUGCAUACAAAGCUGGCAAGAUCGGCAUGAAGGGAGUGUGUAUACCGCCACCGAACAUGGGCCAAUCGGCACCACAAAUGUCUAUGCCACCGGGUUCGAUCAUGCCGCCGGGACAGAUGCCCAUGGGUGCCCCGCCAAUGAUGUCCAUGCCGCCAAUGAUGAGACCACCCAUGGGACAGAUGCCGAUGGGUGCACCGCCACCAAUGAUGCCACCGAUGCCACCCAAUAUGAGACCGCCUAUGAUGAGCAAUCCACCUCCUAAUGUCCAAGCGCAAUAAUUAAAUAAAUACACAAACUUGUUGGUUCGCAUAACAAGACUAUCAUUAAAUUAUAAAUAAUGUAUAUUUUCAUCAAUACCUACAUAAUAAAAUGUUAAAUUAUGGACUUCAAGUAGUCAAGUAGACAUCUUCAACUUGGAUGUUCAAGGUUUGAUUAUUGCCUAUCUUAUGGCUGUUUGCGUAAAAUAUUAUUUCUUAAUGUAUAUUUGUUUUAGUACCAAAUAUAUUAAAUUUCUUAUAA
This 892-nucleotide unclassified non-coding RNA is filed under the name Acyrthosiphon pisum (pea aphid). Its description in RNAcentral is "U1 small nuclear ribonucleoprotein C". The record is from RNAcentral. Lineage: Eukaryota; Metazoa; Arthropoda; Insecta; Hemiptera; Aphididae.